GCACAAGCAGCGGAGCGUGUGGUUUAAUCGUUGCUACACGAAGAACCUUACCUGGGUUUGACAUAUAAGUUGUAGGGAACUGAAAAGGGACCGACCCCUUUCGGGGAGCUUGCACAGGUGCUGCAUGGCUGUCGUCAGCUCGUGUCGUGAGAUGUUCGGUUAAGUCCGCUAACGAGCGCAACCCUCGCUGUGUGUUAUAUGUGUCACACGGGACUGCCGGUCUUAAGCCGGAGGAAGGUGGGGAUGAUGUCAAGUCAGCAUGGCCUUUAUAUCCUGGGCUACACACACGCUACAAUGGCCAGCACAGUAGGUUGCUAAGCCGCGAGGUGGAGCCAAUCCAUAAAGCUGGUCUCAGUUCAGAUUGCAGGCUGCAACCCGCCUGCAUGAAGAUGGAGUUGCUAGUAACCGCAGGUCAGCUAUACUGCGGUGAAUACGUUCCCGGGCUU
This 446-nucleotide ribosomal RNA is filed under the name uncultured Leptolinea sp. Its description in RNAcentral is "bacterial SSU rRNA". It matches the Rfam family "Bacterial small subunit ribosomal RNA", at positions 923 to 1381 of the family's 1533-position model. Lineage: Bacteria; Bacillati; Chloroflexota; Anaerolineae; Anaerolineales; Anaerolineaceae. The record is from RNAcentral.